Cervus elaphus (red deer) is the source of this 282-nucleotide long non-coding RNA. RefSeq lists it as uncharacterized. The transcript has 3 exons. The record is from RefSeq and is a predicted model, not a curated record. Lineage: Eukaryota; Metazoa; Chordata; Mammalia; Artiodactyla; Cervidae.
UCGGCGGGCCGAGGGAUGCGCGCAGCUGUCCCCGCGAGAGGCGCGGCGCACAGGUGCUCGGCCUCCCGCCCCGAAGUCGCAGGGAAGCUGCCGCACCGACACAGAACAUUUUCUGACUCUGGUCUAGAACACGCGUCAGCAUGAAUCAGCGCUUCUGUUAGUACACCUCCACGACCAUGAAGAUAGAGCCACUUUCACAUCCUCAAGUCACAGAGCAGAAAGCUCCCAGUUAAACCACAGCGUUCCAUUAAACGUUGCCACCCGUAUUCAAAAGCCCAUUUG